CCUGAUCAAGCGACGCCUCGUGGAGGAUGAACGCCCUCGGGUUGUAAACUCCUUUCUCUGAGACUUGUAGGACAGUCCCAGAAGAAUAAGCCUCGGCUAACUCCUUGCCAGCAGCCGCGGUAAUACGUAGGGGCGAAUCGUUCGGCGGAAUUACUGGGCCUAAAGGGUGUGUAGGCGGCUGGAUAAUUAUGGUGUGAAUGCUCCCGGCUCAGCUGGGAGGGUCAUCGCGAUACUGGCCUGGUGGAGGGCAGCAGAGGCGAGCGGAAUUCCUGGUGUAGUGGUGAAAUACAAUUCUCUCGGAAGGAACAACGGCGGCGAAAGCUGCUUUUCUGGGCUGUUGCUGAAGGUGGAUCUCCGAACCGUGGGGAAAAAACAGGAAUAAAAACCG
RNAcentral lists this ribosomal RNA (388 nucleotides) under uncultured bacterium. RNAcentral describes it as "bacterial SSU rRNA". It matches the Rfam family "Bacterial small subunit ribosomal RNA", at positions 382 to 787 of the family's 1533-position model. The record is from RNAcentral.